RNAcentral lists this ribosomal RNA (477 nucleotides) under uncultured bacterium. Its description in RNAcentral is "partial 16S ribosomal RNA". It matches the Rfam family "Bacterial small subunit ribosomal RNA", at positions 30 to 523 of the family's 1533-position model. The record is from RNAcentral.
AUUGAACGCUGGCGGAAUGCUUUACACAUGCAAGUCGAACGGCAGCACGGACUUCGGUCUGGUGGCGAGUGGCGAACGGGUGAGUAAUGUAUCGAUAACCUGCCCUUAAGAAAGGAAUAACAGUUGGAAACGACUGCUAAUGCCCUAUAUGCCUUUAAUACAUAAGUAUGCAAGGGAAACGCUUUAGUGCUUAAGUAUGGGUCUGUAUGGUAUCAGCUUGUUGGUGAGGUAAUGGCUCACCAAGGCUAUGACGCCUAACUGGUUUGAGAGGAUGAUCAGUCACACUGGAACUGAGACACGGUCCAGACUCCUACGGGAGGCAGCAGUGGGGAAUAUUGCACAAUGGACGAAAGUCUGAUGCAGCAACGCCGCGUGGAGGAUGACACAUUUCGGUGCGUAAACUCCUUUUAUAUAGGAAGAUAAUGACGGUACUAUAUGAGUAAGCACCGGCUAACUCCGUGCCAGCCGCCGCCGUAA